AUGUAUAUACCACCUCAUUCAUCAGAUUGGAGAGAAAAGAGGCCACGUUCCCUAACUGGCACCUGGAUGCUCCCAAGACCCCUUUCUCCCUGCCUUGGUCAUCUCUCUGGAGCCCCGGAAGCCUCUGUCCCUUUCCCACCCAACUUCCCACUGGAUGCCAUCCCUGGGGGUCCAGACUUAAGAGAUGAAGGACAGCUGGUUAGGACAGACAAUGUUGAGUUGCAGGGCAGAAGGUUCAAGAGGGCACUGGAGGUUUGCCAAAAUGCCCCAAGCUUCUUCUCUUGCCCUCUAGGAAAGGCCACUCAACUGGGAAGGUAAUUGGAUGGUUCAGUGGAUCGAGAGCCUGACCUGUCCUGGAUUCAAAUUUGGACUUCGACACUCCCCAGCUGUGUGACCCUGGACAAGUCACUUAACCCCCAUUGACUAGCCAUAACUACUCUUCUGUCUUAGAAUGGAUAAACAAGUGGAUAAGAUGGAAGGUAAGGGCUGGGGGUUUUUUAAGUGUAUGUCUCCUUCUGCACAUUUUGUCCAUCAGUUCUGUGUGUGAGGAAGUGGGAAGCAUUCUUUAUCACUAGUCCUCUAGAAUUCUGCCCUUGUUUUGCACUAAUUGUGUCUACUGAAUGAGUUUUGAUGUUUUAGGAAUACUUUGAACACACUGUAGAAUCUAAGUUCCUCGAGAGCAGGCAUUGUAUUAUUUAGAUGUUUGUAUCUCCUCAACCUAGGCAAUCAGGAUUAAGUAAUUUAGGGUCACAGCUAGGAAGUGUCUAAAACCAAAUUUGAACCCCAGACCUCCUCUCUCUAAGCCUGGCUCUCAAUCCAUUGAGCGAUCUAGCUGCCCCGCCCCCCCCCCAAUGUUCUUAAUGAUUUUUACCCCACAUCUUAUAACUCUACUGAAUGGGAAAGUUCCUCCUAAUUCCGUGGCCAAUUGUCUUUAAAGCGCUCCAUUUACAAGGAUCAAAGGACAAAUCAGGAGUUUCUGGGUCACAUCUCCUAUAGAAAAUUCUCACAGAAGAUUCCAUCAGUUGGGGACUGGGGUCUGGCGGAACAAAUUGUGGUAUAUAAGGGUGAUGGAAUACUAUUGUGCUAUAAGAAACAAUGAGCAGGAUUAUUUCUGGAAAAAACUGGAAAGAUCCACAUGAACUAAUGCAGAAUGAAUCAAGGAAAUCAAGGAGAACAUUGUGCACAGUAACAGCAACAUUGUGGCCUACUCAACUGUUAGAGACUUUGCUACUCUCAGCAAUAGAAUGAUCCAGGACAAUUCUGAGGGACUUGUGACAAAGAAUAUAUUCACCUCCAGAGAAAGAACUGUUGGAGUCAGAAUGCAGAUUGAAGCACAUAAUUUUUCUAUUCCAAAGCUAUUUUAUUUUCCCAAUUAUGUAUAAUAAUAAUUUUCAAUAUAUGUUUUCCAAAAUUGUAAGGUCCAAACUGUUGACCUCUUUCCCUUCCCUUCCCUCACUCAGAGACUGGUAAACAAUAUGAUCUGGGCCAUAUUUGUAUUAUCAUGCAAAACACACUUCCACAUUGGUCAUUGUUGUAAGAGCAUACUCAUACAAAAGCAAAACCCCAAGAGAUAGUACAAAGCAUACUAUUUUCACAUUAGUUUAUUUAUGUUUUUAUUGGUGGGGACAUUUAUAUGAGUAUUCUUUCACCACAGUGACCAAUGUGGAAUUAUAUUUUGCAUGAUAAUAUAUGCAUAGUCCAGAUCUAAUUACUUAUCAUCUCUGAAAGGGAGGAGGCAAGGGAGGGAGGGAGGGAGGGAGGGAGGAAGGGAGAUGAUUCAGACCUUAAAAUUUCAGAAAAUGUAUAUUACCUGUAAUUGGUAAAAUGAAACAUCUUUUAACAAAAAAAAAAGAAAAUAGUAUAUUGAAUUGAUCAAACUUUUAAAAAUAAAAGAGCAGUACAAAAUAGAUUUUUUCA
RNAcentral lists this long non-coding RNA (1917 nucleotides) under Monodelphis domestica (gray short-tailed opossum). Its description in RNAcentral is "lncRNA (ENSMODG00000042858.1)". The record is from RNAcentral. Lineage: Eukaryota; Metazoa; Chordata; Mammalia; Didelphimorphia; Didelphidae.